CACGUAGGGCGCAAGCGUUGUCCGGAAUUAUUGGGCGUAAAGAGCUCGUAGGCGGUCUGUUGCGUCCGCUGUGAAAACUCGGGGCUUAACCCCGAGCCUGCAGUGGAUACGGGCAGACUAGAGGUAGGUAGGGGAGAAUGGAAUUCCCGGUGUAGCGGUGAAAUGCGCAGAUAUCGGGAGGAACACCGGUGGCGAAGGCGGUUCUCUGGGCCUUACCUGACGCUGAGGAGCGAAAGCCAGGGGAGCAAACGGG
This 253-nucleotide ribosomal RNA is filed under the name uncultured bacterium. Its description in RNAcentral is "partial 16S ribosomal RNA". It matches the Rfam family "Bacterial small subunit ribosomal RNA", at positions 524 to 776 of the family's 1533-position model. The record is from RNAcentral.